RNAcentral lists this ribosomal RNA (253 nucleotides) under uncultured bacterium. Its description in RNAcentral is "partial 16S ribosomal RNA". It matches the Rfam family "Bacterial small subunit ribosomal RNA", at positions 524 to 776 of the family's 1533-position model. The record is from RNAcentral.
GACGAACCGAGCGAACGUUAUUCGGAAUCACUGGGCUUAAAGGGCGCGUAGGCGGGCCGUCAAGUCGAGGGUGAAAUCCCCCAGCUCAACUGGGGAAGUGCCUCCGAUACUGGCGGCCUCGAGGGGGAUAGGGGCAUGCGGAACUUCCGGUGGAGCGGUGAAAUGCGUAGAUAUCGGAAGGAACACCGGUGGCGAAAGCGGCGUGCUGGAUCCCUUCUGACGCUGAGGCGCGAAAGCCAGGGGAGCGGACGGG